Molecule: unclassified non-coding RNA, 154 nt
Filed under: uncultured fungus
Lineage: Eukaryota; Fungi
Description: sequence contains ITS1, 5.8S rRNA gene
Source: RNAcentral
CAGAGUACUAUACUCCAAAACCCCUGUCUACCUUACCUUUACGUUGCUUCGGCAGGCGGCCCCUGGGAGGGGCCGUUGGGUGCCUGCCGGAGGUAUUUCCAAACUCUUGUUUUAUAAACCUAAAUCUUCUGAGUUAUUACUUUUAAAUAAGUCA